GUGCUCACUUUGGUAGCACACAGGCUAAAAUUGGAACGAUACAGUGAAGAUUAGCAUGGCCCCUGCGUAAGGAUGACGUGUAAAUUUGUGAAGCGUUCCAUAUUUUG
This is a small nuclear RNA of Chiloscyllium plagiosum (whitespotted bambooshark), 107 nucleotides long. NCBI's taxonomy places the organism in Eukaryota, Metazoa, Chordata, Chondrichthyes, Orectolobiformes, Hemiscylliidae. The record is from RefSeq and is a predicted model, not a curated record.